AUGGCGUUGGGCAAACGCUUGCCUGCACUGCCGUUGGGGGAAGAGGGACUUCUUCGUCCCACCGUUGAGGAGUUUCUCGCCAUUGGCUACACGCAUCCACCACGACAGCCCAAGAAGUUAUCGCGUUAUCUGCAGAAGCAGAUCGAUGUAAGCAUCUCACAUGUGAUGGCUGAGAUUUUGGGUUGUGUGGUGUUUAAUUAUGCUUGUUUGUUUGGAACUACAGGUGUUGUGUCGGGGAUUACAUAUUUUCCUUUGGUCAUUGAUUUAACUAAGUUGAUUUUGCACAUUGGGUUGUGGUGUUUAAUUCUGCCUGUUUCUGAGUUGAUUCUGCACAUGGAUAAAUACUUUGGUGGAUGA
This 357-nucleotide ribosomal RNA is filed under the name Triticum aestivum (bread wheat). RNAcentral describes it as "partial small subunit ribosomal RNA". The record is from RNAcentral. Lineage: Eukaryota; Viridiplantae; Streptophyta; Magnoliopsida; Poales; Poaceae.